RNAcentral lists this transfer RNA (70 nucleotides) under Salmonella enterica subsp. enterica serovar Enteritidis. RNAcentral describes it as "tRNA-Tyr (GTA) (tRNA-Tyr-GTA-4-1)". It matches the Rfam family "transfer-messenger RNA". Rfam says of the family: Bacterial tmRNA, also known as 10Sa RNA or SsrA, is named for its dual tRNA and mRNA-like properties. Its role is to liberate the mRNA from a stalled ribosome. The record is from RNAcentral. Lineage: Bacteria; Pseudomonadati; Pseudomonadota; Gammaproteobacteria; Enterobacterales; Enterobacteriaceae.
AAUUUACUUUUUUGUUAUAAUAAAAAUGGUAUAAUUUCGGACGCGGGUUCAACUCCCGCCAGCUCCACCA